AGUGAACGCUGGCGGUAGGCCUAACACAUGCAAGUCGAACGGCAGCACAGUAAGAGCUUGCUCUUACGGGUGGCGAGUGGCGGACGGGUGAGGCAUACAUCGGAAUCUACUUUUUCGUGGGGGAUAACGUAGGGAAACUUACGCUAAUACCUCAUACGACCUACGGGUGAAAGCAGGGGAUCUUCGGACCUUGCGCGAUUGAAUGAGCCGAUGUCGGAUUAGCUAGUUGGCGGGGUAAAGGCCCACCAAGGCGACGAUCCGUAGCUGGUCUGAGAGGAUGAUCAGCCACACUGGAAAUGAGACACGGUCCAGACUCCUAAGGGAGGCAGCAGUGGGGAAUAUUGGACAAUGGGCGCAAGCCUGAUCCAGCCAUACCGCGUGGGUGAAGAAGGACUGCGGGUUGUAAAGCCCUUUUGUUGGGAAAGAAAAGCAGCAGGUUAAUACCCCGCUGUUCUGACGGUACCCAAAGAAUAAGCACCGGCUAACUUCGUG
Molecule: ribosomal RNA, 492 nt
Filed under: uncultured bacterium
Lineage: Bacteria
Description: partial 16S ribosomal RNA
Rfam family: Bacterial small subunit ribosomal RNA
Source: RNAcentral